This is a long non-coding RNA of Pristis pectinata (smalltooth sawfish), 1222 nucleotides long. RefSeq lists it as uncharacterized. NCBI's taxonomy places the organism in Eukaryota, Metazoa, Chordata, Chondrichthyes, Rhinopristiformes, Pristidae. The record is from RefSeq and is a predicted model, not a curated record. The transcript is spliced from 3 exons.
CACCUUGGGAGGAAACUGGAGCACACAGAGGAAACCCACACAUUAACAGAGAGAAAACCUGAAAUCAGGAUUGAACCUGGGUCCCUGGAGCUGUGAGGCUGUGACUCUGACUGCUGUAUUCCACCAAACUCUUGACAUGCACUGUCGACAGUGUAACUUCAAGGAUUCAGCAUCUUCUGAAGAAGGAGAGCGAAUGCGAGGCUAAGAGCAAUCCAGCGUCAUGGACCAGGGAUCCCAGGCAUCAGUGGAAAGCUGGGACUUUUUCAAGAGGUCUUUGAGAACAUCCUAGAAUAUUUGCCUCUGUUUGUCUGGUGAACCCUUCCAGUGACAGAGCUUGGAAUAAAGUGUGUGAGAGUUUGGUGUUGGGCAUGCAAAUGAUACAUCCUGUCCAAUGGAUCCAACUGGAUGUAAUUAGGGUCUCAUUGCUAUGGAUGUUAACCUGGGAUGAGUUGCAGAUGUCAGUUCAGUUAUUCUUCCAGUGAAUUUGGAGGACUUUGCGCAGUAGUAGUUUUUGGUAUUAGUUUUCUGAUGUCUUGAGGUGCCUGCUUUAAUAGUCCAAGUCUCACAAGCAUAUAGGGGCAUAGACGCUACAUGGCAGAACAGUACUGAGAAUUCUGCAUUGUCCUGAGAUGACAACAUUCAAUUGAAACGCUAAAGAAAUGCCCAUGUGACUGGUAGCCAGGUGUGCCAUAACAUCCUAAGAGCCUCUUCGGAGAGAGCAGAAAGGUCUCCUGGUUUAUUAGCCAAAAGUUCCUCCUUCAUCAACAAAAGUUUGAUUAACCAAUCAUUGUUCUUCAUGGAAUUUUAUGUGAAAAACAGCUGAUACUGCUGCCUACAUAAUGGUCACUACAAUUAUAUAAGUAUAUUAUAUUAUAUAUACAAUUGUUUUGAGAUAGUUCUGAGAAACAUCUGGAAUUUGCCAUUAUUUUGGUCAAAUUAAAUACUAGGAACUUCUGUCUCAUAGAUUCUUGUAGAUGGUGAAAUCUACACUUUCCAGUAUAUUUGCAGCUUAAAAGCUAAUUAUCUGGAACUGAUUUUCCAAUGCCUUGAAUGGAGGGGUGUAAUUUGCACUUAAGAUCAGCUAGUUCUCACAAUAAUAUCCUGUUCCAAGUAUCAAAUUGAAUCUGUGCUAGAAAUGCAUUAGCGGUAUGAGUAGAAAAUUACGAAUCUAGUGAUAGUUGGAAUGGAGUCUCAAGAGAGAUCUGAACUCACUGACAUUCUA